AUAUAUAUAUAUAUAUAUACUUUUUCAUAAAUGUUACGUUUUGUAAAUUUUAAAAAAUUAAUUAAAUUGUAAAUUAUAAAAUAUAAAAAAUAAAAUAGCGAAAAGUAAGAAUUGAUAACAUUUUAAAAAUAUAAAAUUAAAUGUUCAAGUGGCAAAGCACGUAUUUGUAUGCAUGUAUACAUGUACAUAUAAUCUUACUGCAUCUUUUUUUUGUAGUAUUUAAAUUUUUUUUUUUUUUUUAUUAUAUGUUCUAUAGUGGUACUAUCAACAAGAAGAAAAAAAAAACCUCGCAAUACUAUAAAUUCUAAAUUUUUAAAAAUUAGGAAAAGAAAAAGAGACGUUGAUGAAAUAUACAAUGACUACCAUGAAAAAGGAGCUCCUAAACAUGAUGAGGAUGAACAGUGCGGUGCACUAAUUAAAUGCUAUGCUUGUGAUAUCAUUUUUAUAAGUGAAAAAGCAAAGGAGCAGCAUCAGAAGACGAAAAAACAUAAGAGACGAGUCAAGAUGUUAACUAAAGAAACACCAUAUACCUAUAAAGAUGCCCUUAAAGCUGCAGAAAUAACACUUUAGUCUAUGCAUAUGCAUGCGCAUACACAUACAUAUACACAUGAGUGUUGAUAAUACGUUAUGUACAUAUGUAUACAUACACGCACAUAUAUAUAAGUUUAUAAAAAUAGCACUUUUUUUUUUUUUUAAACAUUUGUUAAAGAAACAAGUUUUGUUAGUUUUAAAAAUAAAUACAAAUUAUAUAUAGUGUCA
RNAcentral lists this long non-coding RNA (759 nucleotides) under Piliocolobus tephrosceles (Ugandan red Colobus). RNAcentral describes it as "lncRNA (ENSPTEG00000009431.1)". The record is from RNAcentral. Lineage: Eukaryota; Metazoa; Chordata; Mammalia; Primates; Cercopithecidae.